GGUUAGAGGCGUAUGCUCAUAGUGAGGUGCAAAAGCUACACCAGGGAGCAGGGUGGAGAUGAGAAACGGCGAAACCGUUAACAGAUACUGAGGACCACACCAGUAUAGCCAGGGUACCCUGGAGGAAGCUCAAACACCGAAAGAUAAUGGAUUUGCAGACAGAUUUACUUUCAGCACCUCUCCUUCUGAACUAUGAAAAAGUCUGUGCAGUCUUUCAUCAAUUUGACUUCCUCUCCAGUGAUGGUCCCCUCGGUGUCGGAGCCCCCUGUCCCACCUCGUCACAUCAGCCAGAGUGUCCGGAAUCGGGAGUCUGUCUGAACCAGAGCGAAUUGUUUCUUCCAUCAACAUUUCUACCCGGUGUUACUUUCUCUUUUAGGAUGCGUGUGAACUGAAUGUGUCGUCUCUCAGCCCGUGGCCCAGUCCUGCAGAUGAUGCAUUAUUUUUCACUAAAGUGUGGUUUUCCCUCUGGUUUUGUGCAAACUGACACUACAUGCCUGACUCUGUGAAAUGUUUGAGUUCCGGAUGCUUCCAUCAGUAUGAGCUCAAUGAGACACUCAAGUCAGUUAGUUCCAAACUGCUGAGAAGUGACUUGAGACUGAGACACAUCAUGAACAAAUCCGAUACAUACUUGUUCCAUAGUUCAUUCUGAAAGUCUUGAGACUUCCAUCAACUAGCAGUGGCUCAAAUCACUAUUCUGUGUUUAAUAACUACUUUCCAAUCCUACUUGACAGGCCAACUAAGGGUCAGUCCCCUGUGCAGAUGUAAAAUUUGAAUCCAGAUAACGAUGGGUGCCCACAUAUUGUCUGAAAUUAUUAAAAUAAAUAUAAAUUGUGGAUUAAUAUUGAUGGGAAAUCUAAAUAAAUAAUGAGUAACACCUCUGGUUUGGCCAACUCACCUCUAAUUGACCUGUCAUUAUCAUCUCUCAUGAAUAUCUGCCGGGGUGGAUAUUUGCUGUAAUCAUUCAAUUCUUACUCAAAGCCUUUUCCUUCCUGCACGUAUAUUUACCGCUGAUUAAGUGACGGGAGUUUAUAUUCACUUUCCCUGAGUAAGUGAUGGUUAUACUCCACUGUUUUCUCUGCUUGUGACUGUUUAUCCCAGUAUCCCACUGUCCUCAGGCCCCCCUCUGCGCUCUUAUCUCAGGAGAGGCUGUCUGUGCUGGAUUGCUGAGUCACCUUUCGUUGGAAGCCGCCCUUAUCUCCUAAGAAGCACAACAUUCAGGCAGUUGGUUGCAAAAGGAGGAACUUUGGGCAGGAGCACUGUGGCCCGCUGUGUCUUCACGGCCAUUAUAGGGAUUGCAGCAACGCUCGCCGACUUCCUCAAAGCCUCGCGACUGGCGCUGCUUUCGUCUACAAGGUCGGAAGCUGUAGUUCUCGGACACCUGCAGGUAUGACAAGGCUGCAGGAGGACGGGUGCGACUCCUGUGGCCACACUGACGGAAUGCUGGGACUUUAAUGUGACGCGGCGCUAUCAGUGAACGCAGAGGUGUCCAAUCGUGCCUGGGGUCUUCCAUGACCCAGAGAUAGUGUCCCCUUCUGUGACACAGCAGCUUCACUCACUCACAUGUCUGAGAAGCAAAAUACUGUCAGACCAAUGAUUCAGUGAAGACUUUAGAGAGGCUACUGCAAAAACUGGCAUCGAUACUCAACACUGGCUGAGUUAAUGAUAAUCAUCCUAAAUGCUGACUUCUAAAAAGCAUGUAAAUUGUUAUUGGUAAUGUUUACAAAUUAAAGCAAAAUUCUGCAGAGGGCUUCAAUGUUUUUUAUUGCAAACACUAUAUAAUAAUAUUACUUAACUCUGCAGCCUCUAAGAUCAUACCUCACAUACAGACUGCAAUCGACAGCUAUACAAAUCAAACCAAACAUAA
Long non-coding RNA from Scophthalmus maximus (turbot), 1864 nucleotides. RefSeq lists it as uncharacterized. The record is from RefSeq and is a predicted model, not a curated record. NCBI's taxonomy places the organism in Eukaryota, Metazoa, Chordata, Actinopteri, Pleuronectiformes, Scophthalmidae. The transcript is spliced from 3 exons.